CGAGGAGGGAGCGUGCAAGGGGGCAGAGCGGCCCUCGCACACGCAUGUGCAAGGGCCUGAGGCCCCCCCCCCCCCGCAGGUGGUGCUGGCGCUGCCCUACGACACGCCGGUGCCCGGCUACUGCAACAACACGGUGAACACGAUGCGGCUCUGGUCCGCCCGGGCCCCCAACGAAUUCAACCUCAAGGACUUUCUUCGAGGGCAAGGAGCUGCGGCUGAAGCAGGAGUAUUUCGUGGUGGCGGCCACCCUGCGCGACAUCAUCCGCCGCUUCAAGUCCUCCAAGUUCGGCAGCCGCGACCCCGUGCGCACCUCCUUCGACGCCUUCCCCGACAAGGUGGCCAUCCAGCUCAACGACACCCACCCGUCCCUGGCCAUCCCCGAGCUCAUGCGGAUCCUGGUGGACGAGGAGAAACUCAGCUGGGACAAGGUGGGACCCGGGCGGGGACCCU
Molecule: long non-coding RNA, 450 nt
Filed under: Apteryx rowi (Okarito brown kiwi)
Lineage: Eukaryota; Metazoa; Chordata; Aves; Apterygiformes; Apterygidae
Description: lncRNA (ENSARWG00000008635.1)
Source: RNAcentral